UUUACAAUUCUUGAGGGAGAUAUUGUGACCAAAUUUCAAAGUUGUAAACUAUUUGAGAGUAAUACUUGUGGUCAAAAUUCAUGAAGUAAAAAUAUCAAUAUAAGCAUUUUCACAAAAGCAUGCUGGCAGAACUGUAUUUUUAUAGAGAUGAAAAAAAUUGGAUAGAUCUGCUCUAUCCAUAUUCAUAUUGCCAUAAAUCAUGUGGAUGUGCACAUACACAAAUCAUAUACUGACAAAAGUUUAACUUCGAUCAGUGCAAUUUCCUCUAAACUUUGCCUAGUAUAAAAUGUUACAAAGAUCAAGCUCAUAUUUUCUGCAUCUUCCCAUAGGUGAAACAUGUAUCAUAUUUGGAUCACAUUAUCUAGAUUACAGUAUUAUGAGGUACGUCAUAAAUUUCUCCAAAACGUUAAUUAACGAGUGAGUACAUUGCAAAUUCUGGAAGAAGAAAAAAGAAGAUAGGAGAUAUGUACGGAAUUUCUAUGGAUAAUUCUGGAACUUCCCUAAAGUUCCAGUUUGUUGAACUGGUGCUGGAUCCCAUCCAACCCUAACGCUGUGAGAAGUUGACACAUGCGACAUGCAGUAGGUGAAGGUCGUUUAAUCUAAA
Ostrea edulis (European flat oyster) is the source of this 604-nucleotide long non-coding RNA. RefSeq lists it as uncharacterized. NCBI's taxonomy places the organism in Eukaryota, Metazoa, Mollusca, Bivalvia, Ostreida, Ostreidae. The record is from RefSeq and is a predicted model, not a curated record. The transcript is spliced from 2 exons.